AAAUGAAAUAAAAGACCUGAAGAGAAACAUAAAAGAUCUCAAACAGCAGUGUAAGGAGGACAAAAAAAGCCUGGCCUCCACCAAGCUGGAAAACAAGAAGCUUAAGGAAUCUUGUAAGUUCUAUAUGGCACACAGCGAGAGAAUGGAAAGGGAGAAUGGAGAAUUUAAGGCUAACCUGGAUCAGCAGAAAAAUAUAUUUGAGGCUGACAAAGGAAGCCUUGAAAAGACGCUGGAAAGUAUAACCAACCUGCUUCAGGAGAAGGAACAGACUCUACAGCAGAAACUGGCUCAGCAAGAACAACUUCACCGUGCGCGAGAGGCUCAGUUACUGUCAGAGGUCAAGGCCUGUGAAAUGAGCCUUACGGCAAUGACCACCAAACGGCAGGCAAAUGAGGAUUCCUACAAGACCCAGAUAAAAGAACUCGAAGAACAUUUUUCAGAUUUGGAAAUUUCUUCAAAAAAUGAAAACGACAUACUAAAG
Molecule: long non-coding RNA, 481 nt
Organism: Anguilla anguilla (European eel)
Lineage: Eukaryota; Metazoa; Chordata; Actinopteri; Anguilliformes; Anguillidae
Exons: 5
Source: RefSeq, a predicted model, not a curated record